AGAGUUUGAUCCUGGCUCAGGAUGAACGCUAGCUACAGGCUUAACACAUGCAAGUCGAGGGGAAACGACAUCGAAAGCUUGCUUUUGAUGGGCGUCGACCGGCGCACGGGUGAGUAACGCGUAUCCAACCUGCCCAUCACUUGGGGAUAACCUUGCGAAAGUAAGACUAAUACCCAAUGACGUCUCUAGAAGACAUCUGAAAGAGAUUAAAGAUUUAUCGGUGAUGGAUGGGGAUGCGUCUGAUUAGCUUGGUUGGCGGGGUAACGGCCCACCAAGGCGACGAUCGAGUAGGGGUUCUGAGAGGAAGGUCCCCCACAUUGGAACUGAGACACGGUCCAAACGUCCGUACGGGAGGCA
This 357-nucleotide ribosomal RNA is filed under the name uncultured bacterium. Its description in RNAcentral is "bacterial SSU rRNA". It matches the Rfam family "Bacterial small subunit ribosomal RNA", at positions 8 to 350 of the family's 1533-position model. The record is from RNAcentral.